UCGGGAAUUUUGGGCAAUGGGCGAGAGCCUGACCCAGCAACGCCGCGUGAAGGAUGAAGUAUUUCGGUAUGUAAACUUCGAAAGAAUAGGAAGAAUAAAUGACGGUACUAUUUAUAAGGUCCGGCUAACUACGUGCCAGCAGCCGCGGUAAUACGUAGGGACCAAGCGUUGUUCGGAUUUACUGGGCGUAAAGGGCGCGUAGGCGGCAAUUCAAGUCAUCUGUGAAAUCUCCGGGCUUAACUCGGAACGGUCAGAUGAUACUGCUUUGCUAGAGUGCAGAAGGGGCAAUCGGAAUUCUUGGUGUAGCGGUGAAAUGCGUAGAUAUCAAGAGGAACACCUGAGGCGAAGGCGGGUUGCUGGGCUGAUACUGACGCUGAGGCGCGAAAGCGUGGGGAGCAAACAGGAUUAGAUACCCCAGUAGUCCCUGAGCGGGCUGGCAAGGCGCAU
RNAcentral lists this ribosomal RNA (447 nucleotides) under uncultured bacterium. RNAcentral describes it as "bacterial SSU rRNA". It matches the Rfam family "Bacterial small subunit ribosomal RNA", at positions 355 to 825 of the family's 1533-position model. The record is from RNAcentral.